RNAcentral lists this ribosomal RNA (253 nucleotides) under uncultured bacterium. RNAcentral describes it as "partial 16S ribosomal RNA". It matches the Rfam family "Bacterial small subunit ribosomal RNA", at positions 524 to 776 of the family's 1533-position model. The record is from RNAcentral.
UACGGGGGGGGCAAGCGUUGUUCGGAAUUACUGGGCGUAAAGGGCGCGUAGGCGGCCUUCUAAGUCGGACGUGAAAUCCCUCGGCUUAACCGAGGAACUGCGUCCGAUACUGAAAGGCUUGAAUCCGGGAGAGGGAUGUGGAAUUCCAGGUGUAGCGGUGAAAUGCGUAGAUAUCGGCAGGAACACCCAGGGGGAAACCAGUGGACUGGGCAGGAGCUGACGCUCAGGUGCGAAAGCGUGGGGAGCGAACCGG